UGCGUAGGCGGGAGAAUAAGUCAGAGGUGAAAUCUGGUCGCUUAACGAUCAAAUUGCCUUUGAAACUGUUUUUCUUGAAAUAUGAUGAGGUUGGCAGAAUGUGACAUGUAGCGGUGAAAUGCAUAGAUAUGUCAUAGAAUACCAAUUGCGAAGGCAGCUGACUGGUCAUUAUUUGACGCUGAGGCACGAAAGCGUGGGGAGCGAACAGGAUUAGAUACCCUGGUAGUCC
RNAcentral lists this ribosomal RNA (229 nucleotides) under uncultured bacterium. Its description in RNAcentral is "partial 16S ribosomal RNA". It matches the Rfam family "Bacterial small subunit ribosomal RNA", at positions 568 to 796 of the family's 1533-position model. The record is from RNAcentral.